AGGAGAGAGACUUUGAAGGCUGUGUAGAGGAACCUGAACCUUCAAUUGACCAACUGGAGUCACAACCAGCCCUUGCAAACAAAUUGAAUUUCAAUCCCGCGUAAGGCAUUUUGUGGAAUCCUACCAUGAUUAAACUCAACACCUCUGGGAAGAGGAGGGCAUGAGACUGAGCCUUGACUUACCCACUAUGAAAGAACUUGACUAGCUCUUAACCACUGCAAACUUCAAUUUCGUCACCUGGAAAAUGAAAGCAAAUUUAUCUGUCUCAUAGGGUUGUUUGGAUUUUCCUAGAUAAAGCGUAUGGCCAAUAUCUAGCAUAUCAUGCAGUGCUCGGGCAAUAUUAGUGUUGUUAUCUCCAGUUUACAAAUGCAGACUGGGAGGCCUCAGCAGAGUAAGUGGCAUGUUCAGAGUCACCUAGGUGGAAAGCAUAGGAACCACAGCUCAAGGUCAAGUGUGAUUGACAGCAGUGUCCUUGCUCUUAAUCACAGGCAUCCUGCCAGAAGUGGACAAUUUCCUCAGGAAGCCUUGCUCAGCUGGGAUGAUAGGGACAGGUUGGGUCCUCAGUCUUCCUUAAGAAGCAGAAACUUCUAGGCUGGAAGUGUAGAGGAGAGGACCCUGGGACAGCCAAGUCAUGCAGAAUUAUGGCUGGCAUCAAGGACAUGUGUCUUUGGUGUUGUUUGUUGCUCUGGGUGGUGAGGUACCCAAAGAGGCCACCUCAUCAGUGCAUUGCUUUAAUCUUGACUCGCCCUGUCGUCAGUCCUUAGAAGGAUGUCGGAAAGGACUGGACUUACUGUGUCACUCCAUAGGAUGCAGCCUGUCCAGUUACAGGUGGAAUAGUCUAUGCUGCAAGGAUGUCCUUUCCCUCUGUCCACCAGUUCACCCUCUUUCUUAUCUCCCUCUCUCUCUUUCUCUGCCUGGCUCUCACUCUUGCUCUGUCUCAGACAUCUAAUGGAAAGAACUAGUUGCAGUCUAGUAUAUUUUGUAAAAUAUAUUUUGAUUUUUAAUUGAUUAUAGUAAUUAUCCAUAUUUAUAGGGUACAGUGUGACAUUAUAAUACAUGUAUACAAGAUGUAUUAAUCAGGCCAGAGUAAUUGGUGUACCUAUUAUCUGAGACAUUUGUCCAUUCUUUGCUUUAGGAACAUUCAAGAUCCUCUCUAAUAGCUAUUUUAAAUUAUUCAAUUAAUUAUUGUCAACUUAAUUAAUCUAUUGUGCUAUAGAACACAAAAAGUUAUUAGUCCUAUACAGCUGCACCCAGUAAGCAUACUGUCUCCCACAUCUUUUCCAGGCUCUGGUAUCCACUGUUCUUUACUUCUAUGAGAUCAACUUUUUAGCUUCUACUAAUGAAUUGGAACAUGCAUUAUUUAUCUUUCCAUGUCUGACUUAUUCCAUUUAACCUGAUGUCCUCUAGUUCCAUCUGUGUUGCUCCAAAUGUCCAAAUUUCCUUUUUUGACUGGGUAAUAUUUCAUUUUGUAUAUAUGCCACAUUUUCUUUAUCUCCUUAUCCAUCACCAUCAACUUAGGUUUAGUUCAUUUGUUGGCUGCUGUGAAUAGACCCAUAGUAAACAACACAGGACAGGUUAUCUCUUCCACACUCUGUUUUCAGUUACUUUGAAUAUAUAGCAACGGGUGGGAUUCCUGGAUCAUAUGGUAAUUCUAUUUCUAGUUUUCUGAG
This is a long non-coding RNA of Heterocephalus glaber (naked mole-rat), 1670 nucleotides long. The record is from Ensembl. NCBI's taxonomy places the organism in Eukaryota, Metazoa, Chordata, Mammalia, Rodentia, Bathyergidae.